UUUAUGGUUCUUCUUGCAAUA
RNAcentral lists this non-coding RNA (21 nucleotides) under Caenorhabditis elegans. Lineage: Eukaryota; Metazoa; Nematoda; Chromadorea; Rhabditida; Rhabditidae. The record is from RNAcentral.